RNA transcript from Nannospalax galili (Upper Galilee mountains blind mole rat), 1654 nucleotides. It is a transcript of the gene named phosphatidylinositol N-acetylglucosaminyltransferase subunit Y, with no coding region annotated. Lineage: Eukaryota; Metazoa; Chordata; Mammalia; Rodentia; Spalacidae. The transcript has 5 exons. The record is from RefSeq and is a predicted model, not a curated record.
GUUCUGCGCUAUCGCGGGAUCUCCGCUUCUCGCCCCUCCCGGGCCGUGCGACCUACGGGCGCGCCUCGGGGGAGCGGUUCCUGGUACGGCCCUGGAACCGCCAGGGAUCAGGACGCUCGGAAGAAGGGGAACGACGCUGGUGAUCCGGUCUGUGCUGGCCACCACCAUCUCGGGUCUUUGCUUCAGGCCCUUUUUCUGCUGUGACCUGCAGUGUCUGCGGGAGAGGACGACGCACCAGGACCCCCAGAAAGACGGAAAUGGACUUGGUGACCUUCGAGGAUGUGACCAUGAACUUUACCCAGGAGGAAUGGGCUCUGCUGGAUCCUUCCCAGAAGGACCUUUACAGAGAAGUUGUUGGGGGAAAUCUUGAUGAAUUUGGCCUCUCUAGGAGAAAAAUGGAACCAGAACAUUGAAGAUUGGCACAGAAAUCAGGGGAGAGUCUUAAGCAACUAUAUUGUAGAAAAAUGCAGUGACAGCAAAGAAAGUAGCCAUUGUGGAGAAAUCUUCAGCCAGAUUCUUGACUGUGAUCUGAACAAGAAAAGUCUCACCAGAGUAAAAACAUGUGAAUGCUGUGUAUGUAGAACAGUCUUCAUGCCUCAUUCAUCCAGUAAUCCCAUCAGUGCUCACAAUGGACAGGAAGUACAUGAUUAUGAAUAAGCAAUGUGAGAAAACCUUCAGUUACUACUACUCUACAAAUUUAUGAUAGGCCUCACACUGGAGACAAACCCGGUGAGUGUCAGGAACGUGAGGAAGCCUUCCUUUCUUUUAUCAGCCUUAGAGAUAUGUGGUAACCCAUGCUGGAGGUGGACCCCAUAAAUGUAGUGUGUGGUGAAAAGGUUUGCAGUAUCCCAGUUCACUUAGAAUCCAUGAAAGGAUUCAUUCUGGGGAGAAGCCAUAUCAGUGUGAACAGUGUGGGAAAGCCUUCAGCUGUGUAGGCUCAGUUCGGAGGCAUCAAAGGAUGCACACUGGUAAGAAACCCUACCAAUGUAAGGUGUGUGGGAAGGCCCUCUGUUCUCUGUCAGGCCUUCAAGGACAUAUGAUAAGGCACACUGGAGGUGGACCUUAUAAAUGCAAGGAAUGUGCAAAAGUCUUUAACUCUCCCAGUGCACUUAGGAAACAUGAAAGGAGCCACACAGGAGAGAAGCCUUUCCCAUGUAAAUACUGUGGGAAAGCCUUCAUUUGUUCAACUUCAGUCUGAAAACAUGAAAGGACGCACACUGGGGAGAAGCCCUGUGAGUGUAAGGAAUGUGGGAAAGUCUUGUCUCUCACUCAGGCCUUCAAGGACACAUGAUCAGGCACACUGGUGAUGGGCCUUAUAAAUGUAAAUUUUGUGGAAAGGCCUUUGGUUCUCCCAGUGCAGUUCUAAGGCAUGAAAGUGCUCAUGAGUUUCUAUGACUAAGGUGUGGGAAUGCCUGGACCCCUUGUUCAGUCAUUUGAGGACAUGUGAUCACUCACAGUGGGAAAAAAAUCGUACAAAGUAUAAGGCAACUGAGAAAACCUUUAAAGAUCCUAGUUCAAGUACAGAAAAGAAUUACACUGGAGAGGAACCCUGUUUUGGAAAUGUGAGGAAACCAUAAACUGUCAACGUUUAUAUGGAAUGCAUGAAAAGGCUCACACUGGGAAAAAACCUUAUGAAUAAAAAAGUGAACCCUUA